RNAcentral lists this ribosomal RNA (478 nucleotides) under Calothrix sp. ISC 11. Its description in RNAcentral is "bacterial SSU rRNA". It matches the Rfam family "Bacterial small subunit ribosomal RNA", at positions 202 to 697 of the family's 1533-position model. The record is from RNAcentral. Lineage: Bacteria; Bacillati; Cyanobacteriota; Cyanophyceae; Nostocales; Calotrichaceae.
AAAAGGCUUGCUGCCUGAAGAUGAGCUCGCGUCUGAUUAGCUAGUAGGUGUGGUAAGAGCGCACCUAGGCGACGAUCAGUAGCUGGUCUGAGAGGAUGAUCAGCCACACUGGGACUGAGACACGGCCCAGACUCCUACGGGAGGCAGCAGUGGGGAAUUUUCCGCAAUGGGCGAAAGCCUGACGGAGCAAUACCGCGUGAGGGAGGAAGGCUCUUGGGUUGUAAACCUCUUUUCUCAGGGAAGAAAAAAAUGACGGUACCUGAGGAAUAAGCAUCGGCUAACUCCGUGCCAGCAGCCGCGGUAAUACGGAGGAUGCAAGCGUUAUCCGGAAUGAUUGGGCGUAAAGCGUCCGCAGGUGGCAAUGUAAGUCUGCUGUUAAAGAGUGAGGCUCAACCUCAUAAGAGCAGUGGAAACUACAUAGCUAGAGUGCGUUCGGGGCAGAGGGAAUUCCUGGUGUAGCGGUGAAAUGCGUAGAGAC